Molecule: long non-coding RNA, 372 nt
Organism: Nicotiana attenuata
Lineage: Eukaryota; Viridiplantae; Streptophyta; Magnoliopsida; Solanales; Solanaceae
Exons: 2
Source: RefSeq, a predicted model, not a curated record
AGCAUUGCUUGAAUAUCUCUUUGUUUGGCACAAGAUGAAGAAUGCUCCUAUAUUUGGCACGAGGGUGAACUGAAGCCCAUGGAUGCAGAGCAACAGAGAGAGUAUGGUCACAAGAUGGUGAAUUUCAUUGUUGAUUAUUACAAGAACAAUGAGAACUCAAUGUUCUUAAUCAAGUUCAGGUUUUCAUAAUAACCUAUCAAUUUCUUUUUGUAUCCUUACCCAAGAAUUAGUUAUUUCCCCAUAGAAAGUUUAGCCAUUGCAUGACAGUGUUAUUUUGGUAGAGUUCGCGGAGACUUAGCUAGAAAAAAGUACUCCAUUUUAUUUCGAAUGAAAUUAGUAAAGCUCAAUCUUUUGAUGAAUACAUUUUUAAUA